Molecule: ribosomal RNA, 577 nt
Filed under: uncultured bacterium
Lineage: Bacteria
Description: bacterial SSU rRNA
Rfam family: Bacterial small subunit ribosomal RNA
Source: RNAcentral
CCUACGGGAGGCAGCAGUGAGGAAUAUUGGACAAUGGGCGCAAGCCUGAUCCAGCCAUGCCGCGUGCAGGAAGAAGCAUCUAUGGUGUGUAAACUGCUUUUGUACAGGAAGAAACACUCCCUCGUGAGGGAGCUUGACGGUACUGUAAGAAUAAGGACCGGCUAACUCCGUGCCAGCAGCCGCGGUAAUACGGAGGGUCCGAGCGUUAUCCGGAAUCAUUGGGUUUAAAGGAUCCGUAGGCGGUUUAAUAAGUCAGUGGUGAAAUCUGGUCGCUCAACGAUCAAACGGCCAUUGAUACUGUUAGACUUGAAUUAUAAGGAAGUAACUAGAAUAUGUAGUGUAGCGGUGAAAUGCUUAGAUAUUACAUGGAAUACCAAUUGCGAAGGCAGGUUACUACUUAUGGAUUGACGCUGAUGGACGAAAGCGUGGGGAGCGAACAGGAUUAGAUACCCUGGUAGUCCACGCCGUAAACGAUGGAUACUAGCUGUUCGGAGCAAUCUGAGUGGCUAAGCGAAAGUGAUAAGUAUCCCACCUGGGGAGUACGUUCGCAAGAAUGAAACUCGAAAGGAAUUGACGG